Molecule: non-coding RNA, 13123 nt
Organism: Rattus norvegicus (Norway rat)
Lineage: Eukaryota; Metazoa; Chordata; Mammalia; Rodentia; Muridae
Source: RefSeq, a predicted model, not a curated record
CUCUGUUCUGGAGGAUUCCUGCAAUGGCACCAAAGUUGAAGGCUUUGAUAGAUCUUGUAAUGGCAGAUUUGGUUAGCUUUGUUGUUGCCUGGGAGGCUUAAACCCCAGCUCCUCCUAUUGUAUAACUCCUAGAGGUUGGAAAGCUGAGCUCAGGAUGCCAGCCUGUUGGGUUGGUUCUGGCGGGAUUCCUCUUCUUGGUUUGCAGAUGGCCAGCUCCUGGCUGUGACCUCACAGGAAGAGAGUAGAGAGAAUGGGAGCAAUGACUUUCCUAUUUCUCCUUAACAAGGUGUUAAUCCUACAGAGAAGACUCCACAUUCAUGACCUAGUCAUUUCCCAUAGACCUUACCUUUAAAUGCCAUUAUACUGGGAUUCAGUCUUCGCCAUACGUUUUUGUUUUUGUUUUUUUUUUGGGGGGGGUGUUCAUUCAGUUGUGGCACAAGGAAAAUUAUUCAGUAUUAAUACAGCAUUUCCCAAACUUGACUGGAUUCAUUUUGCGGAGGAUCAGUAUCUAACUCACCUGGCUGACAGAAGUACUAUGGGAAGUGAGUGGCAGCGCCCUCUAUCGGCAGCGCAGGGUUAGGACUUGCUUCUCCACAGAUGGUAAAUACUCUGCAACCUUAACCAGCACCCCACUCUCCUCACCUAUGAGCCGUAGAAAAUAAUAUCAACUCCCAAAGAGUUAAUGUACCGUGAAAAUCUCAAGUAAGCUAGAAAAUAUUAUACAAAUAUGUGAUGUGGCUUGUUUCAAUAGUGGGAGUAGCGGGGGUGUCAAAUAGAAGGGUCUGAGCUCACUGCUUUGGGUCUGAGUUCCUUCUUCCGGACACUGGGGACAAGAGUGUUUUCAUCCACUAGUUUUCUCAAAAGAAGAUGCUUCCUCCUCUGUGCCCAUCAUGCCCACUGCAGAUCUGAAAUGCUUGCCCAGAGGAAGGGCAGGAAUGGAUCUGACGCCAGCACAUUCAUCUUAGACCGCCCUUAUCUCAUUUUCACGGUCACCGGAGACAGUCAGGGAAGAUAACCAGAUGUUCCAGCAUCCCCCUCAUUCGCUCUCUCUGGCUCACUCUAUCUUUUUUUGUAAAUUGAAUUUAGAGGGUCUGUUUCUUAGCAACAGCAGCAGUACAUGGCUCCAGAGUACUCCUCAGCCAUUGCGGUGCUCACAUGAGCCUUUCUUUACAGGCUGCAAAUUGAGACCUACACCAGGACGGAUAGGCCAGCCGGCUUGAGAUCAGCAGUCCAGGGCUGAAUUUAGGAGGGGGAGAAUUCCCAAAGAACUCAAGGGCCUAGACAGACAGCUCAGUUGGUUAAGAGCAUUUGCAGAAGACCUGGAUUCAGUUCUCUGGAUUCAACAUGGAGGCUCACAAUCACUUAAGGAAGAGAAACAAGAGAAGGGAAGAAAACUUGUCCUUUGGUGAAUCCCCGAAACUGUCUGGGGCUGGAGUUCCGAGUUCUAAAUGCUUCAUGUGAAUGGGACCAUAAGUUGUAUGCACCCUUGUAACUCCAUCUUCCAAAUAGCGUAAUGUUUCCAUGGUUCACCCAUAUGGUAACGGAGUCAGUGCUCCAUAUCUUCUUUUGUCUGAGGGUUAUUUUAUGGUUUAGGUAGGUAUCUGUGGCAGUUUGAAUAUGCUUGGCCUAGGAAGUGGUACUAUUAGAAGGUGUGGCCUUGUUAGAGUAGGUGUGGCCUUAUUGGAGGAAGAGUGUCACUGUGGGGGUAGGCUUUGAGAUCUUUCUCCUAGCUGCCUGUGAGACAGUCUCUCCUGACAGUAGUCUGAUCCAGAUGCAGAACUCUUAGCUCCCUCCUCCAGGACCAUGUCUGCCUGAAUGCCACCAUGCUUCCUGCCAUGAUAAUAAUGGACUAAACCUCUGAAACUGUAAGCAGGCCUAAUGAAAUGUUUGCCUUUAUAAGAGUUGCUUUGGUCAUAGUGUCUCUUCAGAGCAAUAAAACCUUAACUAUGACACUCCCCAUACACUGAUGGCCCUUUUGUCCCUUGCUAUUCUUUGGAAUAACUUUGUUUUAAACCAUUGUGUGAUCUUGUGAUUCAUACCUUGUGAGUAUACACCCAGGAGUAGGGUUACUGUGCCACAGGAUGACUCUCUUUCAUGGUAUGAGAAGCUGUCAAACUCCUUCCAAAACUGAAUUUUCUACCCUGACUAGGGGUACAGUAAGAUCUUUUUUUUUUUAAAUUUACUUUCUUGCUUGUUUCUAGAUCUUUACUAGUUGUUAUAAUCUGACUUACUGAUUAUAGCUGCCCCACUUGGUAUCAACGGCUAAGACAUUGGUUCCAGUUUGUAUUUCCCUGAAGGUACAUGAUAUUAAACACCUUCCUCCAUUCCUGUUGACCAUUUAUGGUCUUCUCUAGGAGAAAUGCCCAUUCUAAUUCUUUGCUUUUUAUCGAACUUUUCAUUUUAUUAUUAAGUUGUCUGAGUUCUUUAUCUACUUUGUGUAUAUAUCCCUUAGUAGAUAUCUGGUUUGCAGAUAUCUUCUCUCAUUUAGUGGGCCUCUUUUUUUCCCCUUUAUUUUUUUUUACGAUACUCUUUGAAGUACAAAGUGUCACUUUUCAGUGAGGUUCAAUUUGUCUACUUUUUAAAAAUUUUGUCCUUUCUGUGUUUGGGAUCACAUCUGAAAAAAAAAAUAAGAAGGAGAAGAAAACCACCAUCUAAUCAGAAAUCACAAAACAUUUCCCCCCACAUUUUUUUUCUAAGAGGUUUCUAGUUGUAGCUUUUAAAAUUGGAAUUUUGAUUCAGUUUUGGGUACUUUUACAUAUGGAGUGAUGUAGGGAUCCAAUUUUGUCCUUCUGCAUGUUGUCCCAGAACCAUUUUGUUGAAGACACUACUACUUCCCCGUGAAUUAUAGUUUGGCACCCUUUCCAAAGAUGAAUUGACUGUCAGUGUGAGGAUGUCUUUCUGGGUUCUCGAUUUGACUCAAUUAAUCUCCAUGUUUGUUCAUAUGCCAAGCCCACUCUGUCUUGACUACUGUAACUUGGAAGUAAGCUUUGAAAUCAGGAAGCGUGAGUCCUCCAACUUGAGUUAUUCUAAGCCUCAAUGAAUUUCCAAGUGAGCCUUAGGACCAGCUUGUCCAGCCCUGCAAAGAAGCCAGCUGAGAUUCUGCUGGAAACUGAGUUGCAGCUAUGGAUGGAUUACGUUGCCCUAUCCCUGAGCAUAUAAUGUCUUCCUGCUCAUUGGAUUGUGCAUUUCCUUCAACAGCUUGCUAAUUUUCAGAGUGCAGACUUUGUGACUUUUAUUUUAUUUUAUUUUAUUUUUUUACGAAAUGAGUUCCUGAGUACUCUAAAAAAAUUUAUUGUGCAUAUGUCUCGUAUAAGUGUGUGUGUAUAUGUGUGUGAGUGUGUGUGUUUCUGUGUGUGAGUGUGUAUGUGUGUAUGUGUGUAUAUGUGAGUGUGUGGGUGAGUGUGUAUGUGUGAGUGUGUGUAUAUGUGAGUGUGUGAGUGUGUGUGAGUGUCUUUGUGUGUGUGUCUGUGUGUGUAUAUGUAUGUGUGAGUGUAUGUGUGUAUGCAAGAGUGUGUGUGUAACUGUGUGUGUGAGUGUGUGUAUAUGUGUGAGUGUGUAUGUAUGCAUGUGAGAGUGUGUGAGUGUGUGUUUAUGUGUGUGAGUGUGUGAGUGUGUGUGUGCGAUUGUAUAUGUGUGAGUGUGUGUGUAUGUGUGUAUGUGUGAGUGUGUGUAUGUGUGUGAGUGUGUGAGUGUGUGUGAGUGUCUCUCUGUGUGUGUAUAUGUAUGUGUGAGUGUAUGUGUGACUGUGUGUUGUGAGUGUGUGUAUAUGUGUGAGUGUGUGUAUAUGUGUGUGUGUGAGUGUCUAUGUGUAUGUGUAUGUGUGAGUGUAUGUGUAUAUGUUAGAGUGUGUGUGUGUGUGACUGUGUAUGUGUGUGUGUGAGUGUGUGUGUGUGUGUGUGUGUGUGUGUGUGUGCCAGAGUGCAUGUGUGGAGUUCAGAGUUCAACUUUAUAGAGUCAGUUCUUUUCUACGGACAUUGUGUUGGCUCCGUGGAUUGAAUUCAGGUCACAAGCCUAGCAUGCCAAGGAUCUUAUCCUAUCAGCCAUCUUAUGCACCUCGAAUUUCUGAGAAUUCUUUUUAGACACUAUUGCAAACCAAACUGUUUUACCCAGUGUUAGGGUUUCAAUCUGAAAUGUCCACUACAGGAUCGUAUGUUUGGACACUUGGCUCCCAGUGUGUGUCUGUCUAUGUGAGUGUCUGCCACAUGUUGGGUGGGUGCUCAGGGAGGCUAGACGACUGUAAGGUCUGGAGCUGGAGCCAUGGGCACUUGUGAGCCACAGUUGGUAUAGCAAAGUAUGAUUGCUAUAGCAAAGCGUCCUUUCACCUGUGCCUGCUUCAGGAAAACACUCUUUCCUGUGUCUGCUUUAGCAAGACAUCUUUCACCUGUGUGCCACAACAAAAUGUCAUUUGACAUAACUAACUUUGCAAAGAAACUAGAAGUUUUCACUUCACUUUUAUAUUACAUGGUCAGUGAGAAUGUCCAAGCACUGGGCUUGGAAUCACAAGAUCUGGCUUUGGCAUCUUGACUCAAACAGGAUCUACUGGGCUUGGCUACUGGGCUGGGCUACAGCAGAUGUCUUUAUCAAUGAGGCUCAUAGCCUCUAGCAAACACCAAAACUGUAGAUAGUACCAAAGCUUCUAUGGUAUUUGGUGUGGAUCCUCUGUUCAUUCUAUCCUCUAUUAACCUUAGUAACCACAGCAUACAUAUUUUCAUUUCAUUAUUAAGCGCAGAACUUUUACCCUUUUACUUGGUGGCAUAGAGCAUUCUACAGCUUUUCUUUGGCAUAUUUGAAUGACUGACAUCACUAUUGUCCUGCUUGGGGCCACUGCUAAAUAAAGUGAAUGUUACUUCCAUGCAAACACCAUGGCAUUUUGACAGCCAGACUGAUAACCAGGAAUUAGUGAUGGGUAGACAGCAUUAAUUAUGGCUACGCUGGAUAAAAGGGUGUUGGGUGCCCAGGACAGGAUGGAGAACAGUGAGGAAUCUCAUAGCAUCACUCAGAAAGUUGCUCCAUUUAAAACUGGGGAGUUGUUCAUUUCUAAAACUUAUCCCUCAAUAAUUUUCAAUAAGUUUGAAACUCUGGAAGGCAAAACUUUAAAUGACGGUGGUGAAGGGUACACCUCCCACAAACCUCUUUCAUAUCCUUAUUUAUCGGGAGACCUAAAUGGCAGCCAUAGGAGGUCCAGGUGCUGUGCAAAAGAAGCUCUGGGCACAGAACACAUCAGGCCAUUCUCUGGUACACUGAGUUCUAUAUUGAUGCUUCUUGCAGAAAGGAAGCAGGGAACCAGAGAGCUGUGGGACAGGUGGGACAGUGACUGAGGAUUUACUGAGAUGACAGAUCUCUACUGUGUGCACCUCUCACCUGGGACCCAGCCACAACAGGGUAAGUACUGUGGGGAAGCAGGCAGACACUGGAGCCAGAAUUACAAGGAUUCGGCAGUCAGUGUUGCCACCAAACCUUGAUUGCUCUCGUGGAUAAGUCUUUUCUGUGCCUUGGUGUUUUUAUCUGCAACAUGGGAGAGCAACAGUCCCUCACUAGAGUGUCGCAGUGUUAGAUAGGUCACUGGGUACCAAGAGCUUGGGACAGAGCCUGAAAGUCAAUGAACUGAUAACAUGACUAAAGAUGUCUUGAUACUUCUAAGGCAUCCUCCACAACAUAUUCUCAUGAUCUUCUAGAGAGUAGCUCUAUCUCUCCAUGGCAUAGCCAUUGAAAGUUUCUUCUGGGCUUAAAGUCUAAGCUUUUCCAGAGCCUGUGGCCUGUGAUUCCUACAAAGCCCUUAGCCACAUCUCUUGACAGUUUAUCUCAGGCUUACUCCUCGCCCCUUUCCACAAUACAGUCAUUCAGGCGUCCUGCCUCAUAUUACCAAUCUGUUCUCCCAGUAUUUCCACAGAUCAACAUGGGUCCUUCAAGGGCAGCAUGAACAUACUCAAAGUUGCAAAUAAGGUGACUAUGACAGCGUUGAUAUGAUUGCCUAUUGUUUGGUUUUUCUUUCUGAAGUAGUGCCAUGCUCUUAAAGGAAAAUUGUUUACUUUUGUGGACACAAUAGGACUACGAGCUGGAGAGUGAGACCCCGCACAUCAAAGGUUCCCAGGCCAGAAACUGAAAACCCAUUAGUUUAAAAAGACAGUGCUGGUGGAGAGAUGGCUCAGCGGUUAAGAGCACUGGCUGCUCUUCCAGAGGUCCUGAGUUCAAUUCCCACAACCACAUGGUGGCUCACAACCAUCUGUAAUGGGAUCUAAUGCCCUCUUCUGGUGUGUCUGAAGAAAAAAAGACAGUGUCUGGAAAUGUAAAGCUAAAAGGGGACCACAUGGAAGGACAGGUAUUUAGGGAAGUGUUUUCCAUGCUUCACAGCCAUAUGGAAGCUGCUUCAGUCUUGUCCCAAAGGGCCUGGCUUCCUCUCAAGUUGUCAGCCUGGCCUCAUCUCAGGUUGUCAACAGAAGCCUGGUGCUUUCCACAUGGAUCUGGUUUUAUAAGCAUGUGACUGUAAGAGUUAAGGGUUCAUUGAGGUUUGCACCGAGCUUCCAGAGAGAAGCAAAUGAGGUCAGCCAGUGAGUACCACAGUCCUGUGUGGGGUUCCCUAGAAGGUUGGGUGUGCAACUGAAACCCACAUCUAAAUCACAGUGAAUACGUUAGGAUAAUGAUUAUGCCAGAACCAUGGGGAGCCCACUGAGGGGGAGGGGGAGGUGCUGAGAGGAGGCAGAGCAGGGUGAGAUCGUGUGGAUUGCAGGCAGCAGGGAGAUGGGGUGAAGCUACCCAAGGCUGUUGGAGAUCAGAUGGUGCUACCAGAUGCCCCAAAUGUGGAACAUGAAACUGCAGGGGUUAAUGCUUGCCCAGCUGGGAUUUGGUCUUGCAUUGGUCUGAUCUAUGAUUGUUGUUGUUUUAUUAUUAACCACCCUCUCGAAAUGUGAAUUUAUACACUGUACUCACAGGCUCCUCUUUUGUGUCCCUAGUUAGUGGGACGUUAGGCCUUUAGGGUUAAAACCCAGCCUUGUUUCCAGUGCCACUGGCUGUUUCCUGGUCUACCCAAUGCCAGACUCGGCAGCUGUAAGUGAACGCCAACUCAGACCAAGCCACUUGGCCAUGACGUUCUGAGAGCAAGAGCCAAAGCAAACCUUUGCACCCUUCAACUGCUUCUCUCAGUUAUUUCAUCACAACGAUGAGAAGUGACUUAUAUCCAUGUUUCUGUAAUGAGCCCUCCUCUAGGACUCUCUCUCUGAGUUGCAGCCUGACCUGAGGAAAAUUCUAGAGAGCCAGUUGUGAAAACUUGAGGAUCCACUUCCCUUUGGGAAAUAGCAAAGGUUUAAGGACAGUGGUAAAAUGUCUUGACUCAUAUGCUUCAUCCCACUCUGUCCUCCAUGGGAAAAUGGCGGAGAUGUGCAAGAGGGAAAGAAACAGCCAUGGAGUACCCACUCAAAGCCAGGAGUCUGACCUCCACAAUGAACUUGAUCUUUACUACACUUGGCCAAAAGUGGAAGCAUCAUCUUCAUUGCAGUGGAGCUGAGGGAAUUGGGACAGAAAGGGUUGGGGUGUGUCCACAGAACCAGCGAGUGGCAAGCUGAACACACACAAGCCAGUGUGUCUUCUCGGAAUGAUGUCAGGAAGGUCUUAAAGAGUCUGCUUUAAUAGAAGGGGUGGGGGUGGGGGUGUACCAAGAAACAACGUGCAGAAGUUCAGAAAAGUAGUAUCAGGGCGCCCGCACAAGCCUUGUCCCCUACCUGGCAAUGUUUUCCAAAGCUCAGGGGCAGCUCUAUAGAACAUGUUUGCCCACUGGAUGGAGCCCAUAGCUGGCACAGAGAUAGGCAUAGCCAUUCUCCCCAUCAGCGUCCCUGCGUCUGGCCAGCUUUCUUCCAUCACUCCUGAGAGACUUGAACUGAGUUCUCAGCUGUGAAUAAAGGAGCUGCACUGACAGACUGGCUGGAGACCAGAGCAGCAGGCAGGGUGAGUCGGAAGGAGGAUGCAGCUUCCGGAUGGGCAGCUCCAGUUGUUCCUGAAGGAGGAGACUGACUAGGUAUGGAGGACAUAGCUAGGGAAUCACCUCCCUCUCUGAGGGUACUGGGUAGCCUGUGCAUGUCCAAGUUCAGCCAGCACUGCUAAAUCUCUGAUUUGGAAUUACCUGAGUCCUGGCGAGGCAGAGGUUACUCAGCAUGGCUGACAGACUGGGAACAGAAUACCUGUCACUGGAGGUGUCCAGGAGAAGAGCUGCUGUCUUGUUCACCUGGGCUCUGCAGAGAAGUACUCACAGAAGAAGACACUGAGUGACCCUUGAGAGCCCUUAUUGCAUUUUGUCCCACAACUCUGACAAGGGACAAACCUAGCCCAUCCCAGCCAGAUUGCAAACACGUGGCCCUAAACAUGUUAUGGUGCUCCUACCAAACCCCAGCCUCUCUUCACACUGCAGAACAGUCACCAUCUCUUUCUCAUUCCUUUCUUCACUCAACCCAUAUACGUUCAUUGAGUACCUAUGGUGCUGUGCAAUAUUGCUAAGUCUUGGAGGGCCUAGGGGUGAGUCGUAUUAAUAUCCUGAUGGCACAGCAGGAGGGAGUCGUGUCCCCCUGUUCCCACAGGGAGUUGUUUGUGUGUGGCAGAUAUGUUAUAAGGGUCCUUAGCGGAGGUAGGAAGUGAGGAUGGUGUCAAGGCUGGAAAUGCUCGGGGUGGGCUAGGAGGGUGGCAGGAUGGCAGAAAGAUCAAAAAGACAAAGAAACAAGUUCCCCCCAAGUUCAGCACGACUCAAUGAAGAGGUGCCUUGGGCGCCCCUGUAGUAAAGAGAGGAAAGUGUUAAAGGACACUGGAGAGAGUCAGGUUACUUCACUCGAAGGAUGCCAAAGGUUGCUGGACUUCCUGGCUGGCAUUGGCAGCCCAAUAUUGGGCAAAGGCCUUCUCCAUGAAUACUGUAUCCUGAGCAGUUCUGGAAAAGGGGCCUGGGUGCUUAAGGGAAGCUAGCGAAGUGGUCCUGAAGGUGACAGACAAUUUACUCUCUCAGAACCUGACACCACGCUGCCCUUCCCAACAGUCCAGCAGCCUGUCUCUCUCUUUCACACAUGGAUGUCCAUCCUCCCUCCUGGGGCUUCGCCUCACCGUUUGUCAUUGCUGAAGCAGCAGUGACUGACACCGUCAGAGGCUGAUAAACAUGGCAUUCUAGUUCAACCCUUUUUCUUCUCCACCAUCUCUCUCACGUUUUCGAAAUACCUGGAAUGGAUGCUCCACAACAGGUCUGCUUUCCACCUAGGAAGGUAGGGGAAAGCCCAGCUGGGCUUCCUCACAAUAGCCCCAUCUACUCCACCUGGCCCCCAGACUCUGCAGGGGAAGUGGCUGCAGCCUGGUCUUCCGGGGCGGAGUCUGCAGGCUAUACACAUCCCUGCCUGCUUUAGAUGUUUGCCAGAUGGAUUGGACCACAAAAUGAGGUAAGGUGGAGGGGCUCUGGCUGAGGUGGAGGGACUCUGGCUGGGCCUGUUUGUCUGAUUUUGAAGCCUACCCCCUUUACUUUCUUACAACCUGUCUACACAAGUCCAGUGCACCCCUGGGUCUCUUGCCCAUGAUCAAGAAUUGCUGUUGGAACCCUAGAUCUUUUUGCCAUUGGUACAAAGCUGAUGUGCCUGUAGAUCCCCACUCUGUGUGCAUAAGGCCAACCUACCCGUAGGUCCCUUUAAUAGGGUUAUGAAGUUGAUAUAUCUCUGGGUCCCUUCCUUUGUGCAUGGUGCCAAAGGCUAUCCCUGGUCCUCUCACUGUGAGCAAGACUUAGGUGCACUGUUGGGUUUCCUCCCUGCCUUUUGGGUAUGAUAGUGGCCCUCUGCCUGCUAUAUACUUUUAUAGGUGAUGCCUGGGGCACAGAAGAGUGAGUAGCUGGGCUCACCAUCCUGGUGGGGAGAGGCAAGUACUACCUUUGUUCUUUAGCAUUGGCCCCCAGUUGGUCCGGGCUGUGGUCUGUUCCCAUUAAUGAAAACCGAACAUGACUGCCUAGCGUUGGUCAUACCUGCUCUGCACCCGGGCCCCUAUGCUGUCUGCUACAGUCCAGCCUGUGAAUCGGAUAUCAGGGAUUGCUCUGAUACUGGAGACAGACCAGAGAGGGAGAGGAAUAUAUCCAUGGCAACACAGCUGCUCUGUGUUAGACCAAGAUUGAGAAACAUUCAUUGAGUCCUUUUUUCUGGCCCAUGCUCCACUAUGGACUACUGCUAGUUACUUAAAUAAAGCUCUCAGUGGCCUUAAUGGCAGGUCAGGAGGACUGGGAUGGGUGGGUGCAGGAAAAGAAAGGAGGCAAAGAGGGGUGACGCGGGAGGCUGAGCAGUGAGAUCUGCCUUGAGUCAGUGGAGGUCCUGCUAGGAACCUCCAUUCUCCUGCAUGUCAAAUAAGGACACUGUCUAUGUUCAGCUUUCCUUCAGGAGUUUCCCUUAGGACAAAACCGCAGUGUGGGAACUGGCUGUACACACAGGCAGUGUCCAUCCAUUAGGAGCCCCCUGCCCUGGAUGAGCCUUGGCCAGUGGCUUCUGGACGUUGCUCUCUAUACCUUAUGAACUGCUGGGUGUCAGGACCCGCAGUGUGGAGUGGCCUGUGCCUCCCUGUGGCAUUAGUACUCAACUCCCAGUGAUGAAAAGUAGCCUCUCUCACAGGGACAAUGUCGUGCAGGGUGCCUACUCCUUGCCUGUGUGGGUUUCUCAGACUGGUUGCCUGGCAGGCUCAGAAAGCAGGCUGGCCUUAUCACAAGCUUAGUCUCCAGUUUCUGGGAAUGGUCUACACUCUAAAGCUUUCUUUCCCAGGGGCUGAUGCCAAGCAGGCUCAGCCUCCAUGUCUGGCAGGACUCCAGGUAUUUCCUCAGGAACCUUCUCAGCAGCAGCAGGAAGACCAGAGUGGUCAGGCCUUGGGGAUGCUUAGCAGGGCCCACUGUUGGCUUGGCCACAGCUAUAAAAUGGGUUCAUACAAGCUUCCCUUAGGCCCUGGUCUGAGUAUCACUCUGCCUUACAGAAACGGAGCAGGCUCAGCUAGCAUCAUGUACUAGGAAAGAGUGGAUUGCCUGUGAGAUGUCAUUAGGGCCCUGGCAGCCAACAGAUAAAGCCUGCAAGCAUUGUGUGCUGGGUUACUAGGGAGUUGGAAUGGAGUGUAGGGCCUCAGCCCUCUGACCUGACCCAGUCCAUGGGUAGGCAGUGCUACCUGGCUUAGGUGUGUGAGUAUGAGUGUGUAUGUGUGUGAGUGUAUGUGUGUGUGUGUGUGUCAGAGUGUGAGUAUGUGUGUGUGAGUGUAUGUGAGCAUUUGUGAGUGUGUGAGUGUGUAUGUGUGUGAGUGUGUGUAUGUGUGUGAGUGUAUAUGUGUGUGAGUGUGUGUGAGUGUGAGUAUGGAUGUGAGUGUGUGUAUGUGUGUGAGUGUGUGUAUGUGUGUGAGUAUGUAUGAGUGUGAGUAUGUAUGUGUGUGUGUGAGUGUGAGUGUGAGUGUGUGUGUGUGUGUGUGUGUGUGUGUGUGUGUAGUAGGGGUAUUGUCCUGGAUGUCCUCAGGAGUUGCCCUUCACAGAAGCUGUCUGAUAACCAUGAGUACCUAGCCACACUCUGAGCUUGUGCUGGGUCAGCUCCUGUGCACAGCAUUCGUUCCUGCCUUUGCAGCUGCCCCAUCCAAGUUGCUCCACUAUUGCCUCCUUGCUUUAAGCUGAUGCUUUCUACUCACUUCCCUGGUGUUCCUCUGUUGACCUUGGUUUUAGAGGUUUCUCCCAAGAGAAGCCUUCUCAGAGUGCCUGGGAGAAGGGGACCACCCCUUGCCCUAGCCCCUGCCUUCUAGAACAGCCUGUGGGAAGCCCAACAGUGUGGGGGAGGUCUCAGGGUCUCUUCAUCUUUCCCCCCACCAUGAGGUCUAAGAGGGCAAAUUCCACAGCCCGUCUGACUCUUUGAUAUCUCAGAAUGAGUGGGGAUUACACAGAUGCAAGGAGGAAUGCACGAGUCAAGGGCAAACGCCACGGGAAGCCCUGGUCUGGGUCCCUUUGCCUUCAUCAGCUCUGUGGUGGAGUUGGGACUAUGCUGUGUCCCUCUGUGAUGGUAGACUUGCUUCAGGAGGAACCAGCACAAGCCAGGGAGCAGUUUCAAGCACUGUAGCUGCCUGGCUGGGGGCUUGUGGUAAAGAGUGUGGUGACCUUGGGUGGCAUGGGUGGCAGAUUCAGGUAUGAGCAUCUAUUCUCUGGUGUUAGUUUCCACAAGAGACCCACAAAUGGACCUGCUCGGGGAAGCAUAGACCUCUUUUUCUCAGGGUCAAAAUCAAGGCUAGUGACAUUUUAAAGUAUUAACAUGUGUACACUGUCAGAUGUAUCUCAACAGCGUUGCGGGAGAUGGCAGGCCUGCCUGUUUAGUUUUACCUGGGCUCCCUUAUUUUUGGCUAUGGCUGUCCUCUCUCCAGAAGUGUAGUUUUAUUGGUUGUGUAUAAAAUGUCCCCCAUGGUUCCAUGUCCCUAGCUGGUGACACUGUUUUGGAAGGUUGUGGUUUCUGAUUGGUGUCAGUGUGUCCCUGGGGUAGGCCUUUGAGGUUUAUAGUCAAUCUGUGUUCUGAUUCCUGAUCCAAUAGGAUGUGGGGUGCCCUGUCUCAGGAUCUCACUGCCAGAGGCAAGCUGACACCAGGCCAAUCCUGCUGUGAUGAGCUGUAAAUUGCAUCUUCUAGUUCAGUUGGAUUUUCCACUCCUCAGGAUAAACAAGAUUCAUGAGGACUGUGCCACCUGCAUCACAGAACAAGAGAGGCCCACCUUGGAGCACCCAGAGAGCAGUAACUGUAGGGAUCCAGAAGUUGAUUCCAAAGGGAAUGAGAAGCACCGUCUCCCUGGUGGUGGAAGAUACUUACAUGCACACGACUAGGCUCUAGCAAGUUCUACAACCAUAGGCAGCUACCUUCUCUUGGUUGCCUCAGUGAUGCAACAAGUCAGUUCUUCUUGUGUGAAGCUCAUUUGGAGCAGGCAGAGCAAGAGGCACUGGGCAGAUACUGAGGAAAGCAUAGGCACUUAGGGCAGGCUCGUGGGAAGCCCCGAAGGGAGACUUUCUACCCCAAAGGUGUCUCUUUCACCUCCUCCUUCACUGACAUCCAAAACCUCACCCUCAUAGCUGCCGUCUCCUCUCUGAAUUAUGGGAAAAGUCAUUUUCAAAUAAAGCUGUGUUCUUCAUUUAGAA